CAAUGCUAGCAAAACAAAGUUGGCAUCUUAUUCUUCAUAGAUCUGCAUGCUUCUAAUCUAGCAAUGCUAGCAAGACAAAGUUGGCAUCUUAUUACUAAGUCUGAUUCUUUGUGUGCUCGUGUCUUACAGGCCAUGUAUUACCCAAAUGGGAAUGUGCUAAAAGUAUGAACAAAGAAGGGCUCUUCUUUCACCUGGCAGAGCAUAGUUGCUAGUUUGCAAGUGUUUAAGAGGGGCCAUAUCUCGAGAGUGGGAUCAGGUACUCACAUUGAUACAUGGAGGAUCAUUGCAUCCCUACCGGCCCAACGAGAAAGAUAA
This 315-nucleotide ribosomal RNA is filed under the name Triticum aestivum (bread wheat). RNAcentral describes it as "partial small subunit ribosomal RNA". The record is from RNAcentral. Lineage: Eukaryota; Viridiplantae; Streptophyta; Magnoliopsida; Poales; Poaceae.